UACGUAGGGUGCAAGCGUUGUCCGGAAUUAUUGGGCGUAAAGAGCUCGUAGGCGGCUUGUCACGUCGGGUGUGAAAGCCCGGGGCUUAACCCCGGGUCUGCAUUCGAUACGGGCUAGCUAGAGUGUGGUAGGGGAGAUCGGAAUUCCUGGUGUAGCGGUGAAAUGCGCAGAUAUCAGGAGGAACACCGGUGGCGAAGGCGGAUCGCUGGGCCAUUACUGACGCUGAGGAGCGAAAGCGUGGGGAGCGAACAGG
RNAcentral lists this ribosomal RNA (253 nucleotides) under uncultured bacterium. RNAcentral describes it as "partial 16S ribosomal RNA". It matches the Rfam family "Bacterial small subunit ribosomal RNA", at positions 524 to 776 of the family's 1533-position model. The record is from RNAcentral.